GUUGCAUUAGGGGGUGCAAAGGGGGGGGUGCAUUGGGGGUUAUUAGGUGGUGUGCAAGGGGGGCUGCACUGGGGGUGCAUUGGGAAUUUUAUUAGGGGUGUCAGGGGGUUGCAAUAGGGGUGCAAGGGGAGUUGCAUUGUGGGGUGCAGGGGGGUACAGGGGGUGCAUCAGAGGUUGCAUUAGGGGACGUGGGGGGUUGUUAUGGGGUGCAGGGGGUGUGCAUUAGAAGUUGCAUGGGGGUGCAUUGGCAUGUGGGGGGGCAUUAUGGGGUGCGGGGGAUGCAGUAGAGGUUGCAUUGUGAGGUGGGGGGGGUGCACAGGAGUGCAAGGGGUGCAUUAGGGGGUGUGGGGGGGUGCAGGGAGGGUGCAUUACAGGUUGCAUUAGGGGGUGCAUUAGUGAGUGUGUGGGGUGCAGCAGAGGUUGCAUUGGGGGUGCGGGGGAGUGCAAGGGGAUGCAUUAUGGGGUGCAGGGGGUGCAGUAGAGGUUGCAUUAUCGGGUGCAGGGGGUUUCAGGGGAUGCUGCAGAGGUUGCAUUAUGGGGUGCAGGGGAGGCUGCAUUAUGGGGUGCAGGGGGGUGCAGCAGAGGUUGCAUUAUGGGGUGCAGGGGGUGCAUGAGAGGUUGCAUUAUAGGGUGCGGGGGGUGCAGUAGAGGUUGCAUUAUGGGGUGCAGGGGGGUGCAGGGGGUGCAGCAGAGGUUGCAUUAUGGGGUGUGGGGGGUGCAUUAGAAGGUGCAUUAUGGGGGGCGGGGGGUGCAUUAGAAGGUGCACUAUGGGGUGCGGGGGGUGCAGCAGAGGUUGCAUUAUGGGGUGCAUUAGAGGUUGCGUUAGGGGGUGCGGGGGGUGCAUUCCGGGGCGCGGGGGGUGCAGGGGGCGCAUCCCCCCCGCC
Molecule: long non-coding RNA, 884 nt
Organism: Falco peregrinus (peregrine falcon)
Lineage: Eukaryota; Metazoa; Chordata; Aves; Falconiformes; Falconidae
Exons: 3
Source: RefSeq, a predicted model, not a curated record